ACGGAAGGCAGCAGUGGGGAAUAUUGGUCAAUGGGGGAAACCCUGAACCAGCAACGCCGCGUGAAGGAUGAAGGUUUUCGGAUUGUAAACUUCUUUGACGAGGAACGAUAAUGACGGUACCUCGAAAACAAGCCACGGCUAACUACGUGCCAGCAGCCGCGGUAGUGCGUAGGUGGCGAGCGUUGUCCGGAUUUACUGGGUGUAAAGGGCGUGUAGGCGGAAUGGCAAGUCAGAUGUGUAAACCCGCGGCUUAACUGCGGGACUGCAUUUGAAACUGUUGUUCUUGAGUGCUGGAGAGGAAAGCGGAAUUCCCGGUGUAGCGGUGGAAUGCGUAGAUAUCGGGAAGAACACCAGUGGCGAAGGCGGCUUUCUGGACAGUAACUGACGCUGAGGCGCGAAAGCGUGGGGAGCAAACAGGAUUAGAUACCCUGUA
RNAcentral lists this ribosomal RNA (433 nucleotides) under uncultured Acetivibrio sp. Its description in RNAcentral is "partial 16S ribosomal RNA". It matches the Rfam family "Bacterial small subunit ribosomal RNA", at positions 341 to 791 of the family's 1533-position model. Lineage: Bacteria; Bacillati; Bacillota; Clostridia; Acetivibrionales; Acetivibrionaceae. The record is from RNAcentral.